Molecule: ribosomal RNA, 301 nt
Filed under: uncultured bacterium
Lineage: Bacteria
Description: partial 16S ribosomal RNA
Rfam family: Bacterial small subunit ribosomal RNA
Source: RNAcentral
CAGCCGCCGCGGUAAUACAGAGGGUGCAAGCGUUAAUCGGAAUUACUGGGCGUAAAGCGCACGCAGGCGGUCUGACAAGUCAGAUGUGAAAUCCCCGGGCUUAACCUGGGAACUGCAUUUGAAACUGUCAGGCUGGAGUCUUGUAGAGGGGGGUAGAAUUCCAGGUGUAGCGGUGAAAUGCGUAGAGAUCUGGAGGAAUACCGGUGGCGAAGGCGGCCCCCUGGACAAAGACUGACGCUCAGGUGCGAAAGCGUGGGGAGCAAACAGGAUUAGAUACCCCAGUAGUCCCUGUCUCUUAUAC